This 21-nucleotide small nuclear RNA is filed under the name Arabidopsis thaliana (thale cress). Its description in RNAcentral is "snRNA_00628". Lineage: Eukaryota; Viridiplantae; Streptophyta; Magnoliopsida; Brassicales; Brassicaceae. The record is from RNAcentral.
CUUACCCAACCGAAAGGCCGA